UCCAGACCCAGAUGACUGUCCAGCUGACUCACCAGCCUGAGAAAAGGAAACAGAGGAGGAAAACCCAGAUUUGAGGCCAGGGGAUGGAACAUGGAGAAACACGACAAAGGAAAAGCUUAAAGCAGAACAGACCACAGCCAAGGAGAUGUCUCUGAGUUGGAAGGAGAACACCACCAUUUUCUUCAAAAUAUUUUAUUGUGUCCUUAUAAGAGGAAGCGAUUAGGACACAGACACACACAGAGGGGAGACCACGUGAAGACACAUGGAGAAGACGACCAUCCACAAGCAAAGGAGAGAGGCCUCAGAAGAAACCAACCCUGCUGACACCUUCAUCUCAGACUUCCAGCCUCCAGAAUUGUGAGACAAUACACUUCUGCUGUUUAAGCCACCCAGUCUGUGCUACUUUGUCGUGGCAGCCCUAGCAGACGAAUGCAGACCCCAACCUUGGGCAGUAGCAGACACAUGGAGAAGAGGGAAGGGAUGGAAGACAUUUUUAGGAGGUGAAAUUGGCAAACUUUGUUGAAUGGCUCCAUAUGGACAAGUGGGGGUGCAGAGUAGUGGAGAAUUUUGUUAGUUUUCUAAGCCUGAGCAGCUGGAUGGAUGAGGGUGCCCCAUCUCAUCAACUGUGAUGGAGAAUCCACGAGGAAGAGUUGCUGUUUGGAGGAGUUGAAGGGGAGACGCGGGAGGGGCACCCGGUGGGGAUGCCUGUUCUCUGGUUGAUCUAGUCCAGGGCUUCAAGCCAAGGGCUGGAGGGAGGCACAAGGGCACAUCCGUGCGAGCGGAAAGCAUACUGUGAGUAGAGGAGGGUGGCAGAGGACAGACCCCCGGGGAGGUGCACAUUUAUUUUCUUGGAGGAAGGGACCAUCAUGUAUUGUGCUGAUGAUCGCAUCGCAGCUGUUCACAUUUAUUAGGUUGAUUCCAAAAUAUUGUCUGCCUCCCCUAAUUUCUCUUUCAACCCAUUGUUUAAAAAUUCCCAAGAUAGGCACAGACAGACUACUCCCCAAAUGCUAAAUUGGUCAAAUUAGGGGGAAGGCUGUCUCUUUAACCUACCCCUGUGAUUAUUUGGUACACAUGGUGCUUAGCAUGCUGGCGUCCAGGAACCACCAUAUGUGCAGGUAAGCGCAGAGCCGAGUGGUCAAACAAUGGGCUGUUUUGCUUUUCGCAAUACAUGCUCUUACUUUUUUGUACCCCUCUGGCCUCCUUUCUUUAAACAUUUUUUAAUUGAAAAAAUGCAUAUCAAUGUGUGUUAGAAAUGUGUGGGAAUGGAAACAAUAGUCUCUCCUAAUGGUGUGAAUAAUGAUGUGAUUUUUGUUAUUAUCAUAUUAGUGCCAGCAUAUUUUGCAGGAUUACUAUGUAUCAGGCACUAUGCUGUAUUGUUUCUCUUAGGAUAUGUAGUUUUCCACGAAGACAUACGAUUCUGAAACCCUGGAGAAUACAAAAUUGAAAAUUAGCUUUCUGUUUAAGAGUGCAGGCUCUGGAUUGAGGUUGCCUGAGUUAGAAUUCUGAUUUCCUCACUUAUUAAACUAAUGCCAUUCUGGGUGAGCUA
Cercocebus atys (sooty mangabey) is the source of this 1546-nucleotide long non-coding RNA. RefSeq lists it as uncharacterized. The transcript is spliced from 2 exons. The record is from RefSeq and is a predicted model, not a curated record. NCBI's taxonomy places the organism in Eukaryota, Metazoa, Chordata, Mammalia, Primates, Cercopithecidae.